Triticum aestivum (bread wheat) is the source of this 3587-nucleotide long non-coding RNA. RefSeq lists it as uncharacterized. NCBI's taxonomy places the organism in Eukaryota, Viridiplantae, Streptophyta, Magnoliopsida, Poales, Poaceae. The record is from RefSeq and is a predicted model, not a curated record. The transcript is spliced from 4 exons.
AACCUCGCAACCCUAGCCCCAAUCCACAUCCCCCACGCCCCUCACUCCUCGCUCCUCCUCCUUCCCUCGUCUGCCGCCUCACUCCCUUCCUCUCCUCCCUCGUCGCCCUAGGAGCCCCGCCGCCUACUGCUGCUCCUCCACCACCUCGCCUCUUUCUCCUCCUCGCCUUCCCAUCGCUCGCGCGUAGGUCGUCGCCGUCGGAGAACAGGGGAGUGCGGGUCUUCAAGUUGGGGUUGUCAUGAGGGCUUCCCAACCCGACGGCGCCUCCUCCUCGCAGCGUUGUCGCCCGCGCCCCUUCUUCUCCUUCCUCCUCCCUCUUCCCUCCCUCGUCACUACGUCCACCAGUCCCCUCCCUCCCUCAUCACUACGUCGACCAGUCCUUUCCCUCCCUUGUCCGUGGCCGCUGCUGCCGCAUGAAUCUCCCAAGUCAGGGAAAGGAAGAAGGCCUUGGCGAGUCUAAGCCUACGAAGGAAAGCAGCAGGGGUUGGUGGAGCGACUGAUGUGGAUGGGGUCGGCGGUUGAGGGAAGGUUGCCGACCAGAGAAGCAGGAGCAAGAAGCUCGAGAAGAUUGGAUACACAUGGUUCAGCAAAGAGGGAGUGUGCAACCGCAACAGAGAUAGGGACAUGGAGCAAGAGUGUGUGGCUAGGCUGUGCAAAUUUUCUCCUUCGAGAAAGCAAGUGUUUUCUGUUGAUGAGCUUGUAGUGGGAGGAACUAGGAAAGAAGCACAAACGACAAGCUGCCAAUAUAUCUGUAAGAAAUUUGCAUACAACAGAGGGGGUAUGGUAAUUGUUGUUAACAUAAAGUUGUCCGCCUUCAAGAUUUUUACUUUCUGAUUAUGAAAGUUGAAGCAUAGUUGUCAGCAGGGUUAUGGUAAUUGUUGUUUACUUGAUGAAUAUUAAUUAAUAAAUUUCAUAAAGAUGACUGUUGAGUGGUAAAAUUAUUGUUUUCCACAUUGAAGCCAAGGUCAACCUAUGUGUUUUUGCAUGUUCAUCCAUUCGAAUGCGGUCUUUUGUGCGGAUAUGUUGCAUGUUUUUUUUUAAUUGAAGUAGGCCAUGAUUCAUGAUGUUAGAUGUUUCGUUUUACUUCCUCUAUGUAUUGGCAUGUUGUUUAUUUGUUUGCUGAUGGUAUUGAUAAACCCAGGUUCAGCCGGGGCGUUGUGCUUUGUUCGUCCUCGUGUUUGUCGCCUGUUGUUUACCAUGGCUCCCCUUUGUUCCAUAUGGUCUAGGAACUGCAAGGUUGCUACUUAUCGUCGCCAAGUUUUUUACAGGCGUAGCUAAAUCCAAAGUUGUUUCCGUAUUCAGAAUAAUAGGAACAAAAUUUAGUGAAACACAAGCGUGCAGGCUGCCAAUUUAGUGCUCAGGUACAGCCACUCUUGAUUUGUAGUUCAUUGGUUAAUUUAGAAUCUAGAAAUGAAGUCCUCUUUGCUUAUGGAUUCUCCACUUUUUCCAAGGGAAUUGUUUUCUAAGUACAUAUGGAGACACUGAUGUUUGACUUACAAUGUUGUUUGACACAUUGCUCUGCUUCAAGCUCUCACUGAUGGAUUUGCAGUACGCCUGAACUUGGACUCUGUCCAAACCAACAGAGUUGUGAAUGAGCUCUGCUAGCUAUGCUAUAUAUAUUUGACCAUUUCUAGAUCGUCUUAGCUCAUGCCAUGAGCUUGGGUAACGUGUCACCGCAAUGCGUAAUGUCUAUUACUUCUGCCUUUUUCCUAUCUGUACAUUUGGAGAAAAACGGAUCGUGUUAUUUCUGCGUUUGACAAUUCCAUUUAGGUGUAAAAGCCUAGCUAUGUUUUGUUCCUUUUUGUUUUCUGUAUAGUUUGUGCACUGACCAAUGAUUUGUGAUGUCCAUGAAUACUAUUAAGGCAUUGUUGAACUUUGCCUUUUUCCUAUCUGUAUAUUUGGAGAAUAAGGCAUACAUGUAGUCAGAGUGUUGCUUCCCAGGUGAGCUGAGGUGAUAACUGAGCCCUCUUAUACUGUAGAGCAGGUUCAAUAUUUGCUUGUAUUUUCAUGUGCCAAAGGAUAGUUCUGUUCGUGUUGUUGUGGCUUGUGACAGUUGCCGAAAAAAGAGAAGACGAUGAGCAAGAUACGGCGGCCAACAUUGUGUUAAUUGCCUGCUUUAUGCAAAACUAAAACAAGUCAAACUAAAAUGCUUUGGUAUGUAUUGGCUAAAUUAGAGCGUAUGAGAUUGGCAUAUGAAGGAUAACACUACAAGUUGGCACACCUAGAAAUUGAUUAAUGCCUUUUCUUUUGUCUCUUUGCAUAGUGCCCAGGUAGUGUUCAUUAGUAGGUUCAAAGGAUGCUCAGAUUUUUAAUUCUCGGUUUAUUCUACCAUGGAUUCCUUCUGGUAUGUGCAUGUUUCAAAACUGAAUAUACACGUAGGAGAAACUUGAGAGCCAAUAUUAGUGCUUAAGGAUUACUCUCAGUGCCAUUCUAUGCUAUCAUGGUAAAAUAGGCCAAUACACAUUCAGGAAAUAUGUGACCAACUUUCCCAAGGUCCUGCAUCGUCUACUCAGUUUAAUUCUUAGUCUACAACCUCCAAAACCUGCAGUUUUAUUUUUAUAAAUGGUUAAGCGCCCAUUGCUCUAAGCGUCAGCCUGUCGCUUCGCUUAUGCUUAACGCUUUCCUCAACAUUGAUUUCUGUCAAACAAACUUUUUGUUUCUUAAGUUUUCAUGUUGAUUACUGAUUGUGGGAGUUGAAUUGUGCUCUAGUGGAAGUGUUAGAGUGUAGCAUUUUUGUAAGCAUAAUCUAUAUCCAUUCCUAUUGGGAACAUACACAUGUAGGUUUUUGUAAGCAGAAUACUGUAGGAGCAUACUAUUAGGACUUACGUAGAUGGGCUAUUCUAGACAUUGGCAAGAGAAUGGUCUGCAUCCUAUAUAUGGUCUUAGUGCGUUCUAAAAAAGCACGUGUUAAAUAGCUGUCAGCACAACGAUUUCUAACUAAUAGAAUGUUACUCCCGUUGGUAUAUAUGAGGCAAUGUCUAAUAUUUUCUUAGAAUAAUGGUUUAAUUAAUUGGAUAAUUAUCACUUUCUCGAUGCGCCUACUUUCAGAGAUGUAAAAUCCAGGACUCUAUGUAAUGUGCCUUCAAUAUCUAUUCAAUAGUUGAAUAGCAACAUCAAAUCAUUCUCUUGAACUUAUUAUAUCAUGCUCUCUAACUCCUUGGCAUUUAAUUCGAGUUAAACAAAUCUUGUUCAUAGCGAAAAAUACAUUUUAUAGAAAGAUAGCCCUUUAUUCUGUUUAUUAUCUCUAGCUACUUCUACUGUAGUCCUUGCUUAACACUGAUGUUCGUCUUGUGACAGAUCCAGGAUAUUCUGUGGCCCAAGUUCCCUACAGAAUAAUGCCAAGUCUAAUUUCAACAGUGGGCAUGACAGCCUCAAACUUCUCUCUUCAAUAUUGAAGAAGCGGCUUACUCGGAUCAAUGGGCCUGCACUUAGAAAAUAGCUAGAGAGUACGAGAUAUUCCUAGAGUAAAUAAAGGGCAUGGUGUGCUGAUACGUUAGACAGAAGCAAAAUGUUACUUAUUACGCUCCUAUUGUUGUAUCCUUAGACAUUUUCUUCCACCUACCAUACACCAGUAUUGAAUAUUGAAA